GCUGACCUUGCUAGGAUCAUCAACUCAGACGAGGUACAAUCCGUUGUGAGACCCAUUAAGAAGGAUGUGAAGAGGGCAACAUUGAAGAAGAACCCACUUAAGAACCUGAAUGUGCUGCUGAAACUCAACCCCUAUGCAAAGACUGCAAAGAGAAUGUCUCUUUUGGCUGAGGCUCAACGCGUCAAGGCCAAGAACGAGAAGCUUGACAAGAAGAGACACCAAAUAACUAAGGAGGAGGCAUCAGCUAUCAGAGCAGCAGGCACAUCUUGGUUCAAGACAAUGAUUUCAGA
This 290-nucleotide unclassified non-coding RNA is filed under the name Hevea brasiliensis (rubber tree). Lineage: Eukaryota; Viridiplantae; Streptophyta; Magnoliopsida; Malpighiales; Euphorbiaceae. The record is from RNAcentral.